RNAcentral lists this ribosomal RNA (492 nucleotides) under uncultured bacterium. RNAcentral describes it as "partial 16S ribosomal RNA". It matches the Rfam family "Bacterial small subunit ribosomal RNA", at positions 29 to 507 of the family's 1533-position model. The record is from RNAcentral.
AGUGAACGCUGGCGGUAGGCCUAACACAUGCAAGUCGAACGGCAGCACAGUAAGAGCUUGCUCUUACGGGUGGCGAGUGGCGGACGGGUGAGGAAUACAUCGGAAUCUACUUUUUCGUGGGGGAUAACGUAGGGAAACUUACGCUAAUACCGCAUACGACCUACGGGUGAAAGCAGGGGAUCUUCGGACCUUGCGCGACUGAAUUAGCCGAUGCCGGAUUGGCUAGUUGGCGGGGUAAAGUCCCACCAAGGCGAGGAUCCGUAGCUGGUCUGAGAGGAUGAUCAGCCACACUGGAACUGAGACACGGUCCAGACUCCUACGGGAGGCAGCAGUGGGGAAUAUUGGGCAAUGGGCGCAAGCCUGAUCCAGCCAUACCGCGUGGGUGAAGAAGGCCUUCGGGUUGUAAAGCCCUUUUGUUGGGAAAGAAAAGCAGCAUGUUUAUACCCCGCUGUUCUGACGGUACCCAAAGAAUAAGCACCGGCUAACUUCGUG